Lates calcarifer (barramundi perch) is the source of this 547-nucleotide long non-coding RNA. RefSeq lists it as uncharacterized. NCBI's taxonomy places the organism in Eukaryota, Metazoa, Chordata, Actinopteri, Centropomidae. The transcript has 3 exons. The record is from RefSeq and is a predicted model, not a curated record.
CAGAAUUAGCCAUCAUCAAGCCAAAGUGUUGUCACCUUCUGUCCUUGAAGCCCCUCAGGCCCUUUAGCACCAAUUAGUCCUAGAGGGCCAGGAUUGCCAGGGGGCCCCUGCACUCCACUGGGACCAGGAGAGCCAGGUCCUCUCUGUCCUGGAAUCCCGUCAAAACCACGGUCACCCUACGCAGACGAAGAAAAGCAGUUCGAUUUCACAUUGAGGGACAGUAAUUGUACAAAAAGGAGGUCCGCCCACCAGCACAGAACAGUGUGACCGUGAAUGACAGUACAGCUGUAAACAUCUGGCUUCACCCACAGAGCCAAAACAUCAACACACAAUGUUUCUUGUUGCCUAUUUCUUAAGCUGUGCUACAGUACUUGUAGUAUCACAGUUAAUUAACGUGUGUUCUUUUAAAACAGCCACUGUCAACACAAAAUGUCUGAUUUUCCUCUCUCCAUUUCUGCGUCACUGUCGUCUUUACCAAUAUAAACAAAUACACACGCAACAGAGGCAGAGAAAGAGUGAGCAGAAAUAGAGCUUAUUAGAUAUUAAA